AAAAAAAGACACCCUGAUUUCCGUGUCCAAUAUUUGACCGUCCGUCUUAUUUAAAAAAAUUAUAAAAAAAAUUAAAAAGAUAAGUCACGCAUAAAAUAUUAAUCAUGUUUUAUCAUCUAACAACAAUAAAAAUACGAAUUAUAAAAAAAUUUCAUAUAAGACGAACAGUCAAAAUUGUACACGGAAACCUAUGGUUUGACUUUUU
Molecule: non-coding RNA, 205 nt
Organism: Oryza nivara
Lineage: Eukaryota; Viridiplantae; Streptophyta; Magnoliopsida; Poales; Poaceae
Source: Rfam